AGACGGAGGGCGCAAGCGUUGUUCGGAAUUACUGGGCGUAAAGCGCGGGCAGGUGGUCUGUUAAGUCGUUUGUGAAAAUCCGGGGCUCAACCCCGCGAAAUGCAGACGAUACUGGCAGGCUGGAGAUCGGUAGAGGCUAGCGGAAUUCCUGGUGUAGCGGUGGAAUGCGUAGAUAUCAGGAAGAACACCUGUGGCGAAGGCGGCUAGCUGGGCCGGUUCUGACACUGAACUGCGAAAGCGUGGGGAGCAAACAGGAUUAGAUACCCCAGUAGUCC
RNAcentral lists this ribosomal RNA (275 nucleotides) under uncultured bacterium. RNAcentral's name for it is "partial 16S ribosomal RNA". It matches the Rfam family "Bacterial small subunit ribosomal RNA", at positions 523 to 796 of the family's 1533-position model. The record is from RNAcentral.